CACCGGACAGGGCGACUGCAGGAAGACUGUGACCUUCUCAUCCUCUAGCAUGAGCUGCAGGAAGAGCCUGCGGAUGAAGCCAGAGAUGUUGCCAGAGACGGGCACGCUUCCACGCUGGGGGGCCGACUGGAAGAGCUCACACAGCACCUACAGAGAACAAGAGCCCACCAAAGACACACGUUAGUAAUCUAUCAGAUACGGUUGGUAAGGGUGGAAAUGUGUGUAGUCAAUGCAUUCCACCAGACCUGUGCCAUGAGCCGCUGGUUGUUGGGGUGGCAGGAGAUGCACUGCAGGAAGAAGGCCACUGUGGCGUUCUCGAUUGCCGUCCUCUGCUGGGUGGUGAGCCCGCUGCCCCGGGUCGACGAGGCCAGAGAGUAGCGCGACCCUGAAGGCUGGGGUGGGGGCGGAGGAGGGGGGCAGCACGCACCACCGGGGCCAGCAGAGUGAGCUCCCGCGUGCCCAUGGACACCGCUGGUUCCCCCUGCGCUGGCGCUGCUGUGGCAAAGCAGGAACAGCAAAGCGGUCCACAGCGGGUUCACCUCAGGCCCACCUAUCCAGUCCUUCAUGGCAUGACUGUUCCCAACCUCAGUGAGGAAACGCAGCACUGGGGCUGCCAGCUCUGCAGACAGGGGCGCCCUGCUCUGAGAGGAAGAUGACGAAGAGGAGUGGGGGUGGUGGUGCUGCCGUCGUUCGGCCUGGGCGGUGGAGGGCAGAGGUAGGCCAGCUGCAGCCAGGAGGCCACAGCAGAGUCCGGCCAGGCUGCGGACCAGCAAAGAGGGCAGGCCUGAGUCCAGCAGCUGCUCUAUCGCCCCGGGUGACUGGGAAGCUGCAGCCAGAGUGGUCAGUUGUGACUCGGACAAGGCGAUGGGUGGCCGCGCGUGUUUGGAGUCGUCAGUGAGGCCAGCGCUGGUGGUGGCGUUAGCAUUGGCGCUGCUGAGGUCGUGCUGUUUCUUGCCAUCGUCCGUCAUGGAGAGGCGGUGCUGGGCGGCGGUAGGCGGGGCCACGAUGCCCAUCCAGGACAUGAGCAGAGAGAAGUAGCUGGGGUGGAUGUGGCACAUGGAGCAGAGCAGGCUGUCUACUGCCUUCUUCAGCACCAUGUUACACGGCAGGGACAUGGACCAGUUGUACAGCAGUCUACAGGAGAGACAGGGACAACAGUAUAAACAAAGCAACACACAUCUUUCCCUCUAAAUUCAACAGGUCAGAAACCUUAAUCCUUCUGAAUAUUUUCACUCCACAAGUAUUGGCAGUGACACAUUUGUAUUUGUUUUGGCUCUGUACUCCAGCACUUUGGAUUUGAAAUUAUACAAUGACUAUGGCUUUAAAGUGCAC
RNAcentral lists this long non-coding RNA (1332 nucleotides) under Salmo salar (Atlantic salmon). RNAcentral's name for it is "lncRNA (ENSSSAG00000082907.1)". Lineage: Eukaryota; Metazoa; Chordata; Actinopteri; Salmoniformes; Salmonidae. The record is from RNAcentral.